UAUUUUUAAAAAAUGCAGGUGUAGUAAAUAAAAGGGGGGAGUGGUUUACUUACACGAAGGCAAAGAAUACUGCUGUUGCUCCGAGCAGUAUACUCCAGGCACAAGUUGCCGGGAUUAUUUUGGUAGAAAAUUCGCAUCGUGACAUGAUAUUUAAUAGGUUUAAGAGGGGGUAUUAGCUUGAAUAAUCAACCAAGAAAACAAAGAUGGCAUUCCUUCAGGUUGGGCCGAU
This 229-nucleotide long non-coding RNA is filed under the name Mytilus galloprovincialis (Mediterranean mussel). Lineage: Eukaryota; Metazoa; Mollusca; Bivalvia; Mytilida; Mytilidae. The record is from RNAcentral.